This is a long non-coding RNA of Eupeodes corollae, 1813 nucleotides long. RefSeq lists it as uncharacterized. The record is from RefSeq and is a predicted model, not a curated record. NCBI's taxonomy places the organism in Eukaryota, Metazoa, Arthropoda, Insecta, Diptera, Syrphidae. The transcript has 7 exons.
ACAAAAAAAUUUUAUAGUGAAAUCUCCAGAAGAUGUUAUAAUUACAACAUACAUAGAAAGUGAACUAAAUUUAAUUUAAGAAGAACUAAAAAGCACUACAGGUCAUAAACCCAUAUACGAAAAACAAGAAGUCUUAUUAACAUAGGAGGAAGAGUCUUAAACUUUUUAUUCGGAACUAUGGAUGAUGAGGACAAAAUAGAAAUAGAAAACAGAUUAAAAACACUAACCGUGAAUAAUCACGAGUUAAUAAUCAAUAAUAAUAAACAGGUGCUGCCGGUUACAAACCAUGAUGUAGAAAGCAAUUUCCCCUUAAGAAAUUCGGAAAGUUUGCUCAGAACAAAGGCGCUAGUCUCCAGACUUUCGCUUUUAUUUGUAGAUAGUUAUUUGAAGCCUGUUGAAGUAAAGUAUAUAUUUCUACACUCAAUUGUUACUGUAUCAUGAUCGUUGAGAUAUGUCUCAGCGGCUAUGUCUAUGUCUCUGCCAAUAGUAAGGUUCACGGAAUGCAACAACACCACCAGAAUCACAAAUUACAUUCCGAAUUAGCGAAUAUCCUCAGCUGCAGCUAAGUCAUUUUAUAAUGACUUAACAGCGGCAAUAGCAACGGCAGAGUAUGCAGGCAAAUCAGGAUUUCCAACGUCCCUUGCCCAUUCAUCAGCUGCCAAAAAGUAUGGAACAAGCCGACCAAAAAAAAAAACUACUCUUGCAGCUCUAACUGAAGCAACAUCUUCUGGUUUCAUAGAGUGCAACAGCACAUGGGGUUCAGUUGUAUCUAAAUCGAUGCUUGUAAUGCCAACUAUCUCACUAAAGAACGGCAGGGGCACUGCUGACUGAGUCAUCGGCUACUGCGGCUACUUAGGCCGACGCAGACCACGUAGAGGAUGAAAGCAACCUGCUCUGAGAACACCUCCUAAAUGACGGGAGUCAAAAAUCAUUUACAGAAAAAAUAGAAGUUUAAUUCCUAAAUACACACAAUACUUAUUGAAUCAUAAAAAGAACUAUGUAACUGGAAUCACAAAGAAGUCCAUCGACACAGGAACUAUUCAAAUGAAGUUAUCGCAACCUUCACCAAAAAUUUCCAAAAAUAAUACAACCGGAAAUUGUGCAUUUAUGACAUGGUAAGAUUGGGAUUUUGGAAUUUACCUCGCAAAAGAAUGUUUUAUAAUUAUAAACCAAUUAACUUGCUACAAUUUAAUUGUGCCUCCAUUGACCAGAAGGCUUAUAAUGGCAAAACUACUUCAAACAACAAAAUGAUCCUCCAGUGAAGAUGAUUAUAGUCGAAGACAUGCUUUAAAUCUUAUCCGUUAAUAAUCAAGCUUCGCAGCGCAGCUAGUUUUUAAAUAAAUUUGUAAUUUUUUUUUCAAAAUUGUAUGUAUUUAUGUAUUCAGGUUAACUUUGUUUUAAAUUCAACGCUUAUAAUGUAUUUUCACUUAAAAAACAAUAACUAGAUGUUAAAAUUUAACUUCUUAGGUUUUGAGUAAAUAAAAAAGAUAUUAAAUGUACUUUUUUUCAAAGAAAAACACUUCUUUCUGGUUUUCCCAAAUUUGAUAUGCUCAGGUCGAUUAUUAUAGUGGAUUAUAAAUUUUUUAUUUUUUGUUUCGUUUUUAGCAAAUAAUAAUAAAAAACAAACAAGCUCUUUUAAGUAGAUUUUAUUUUUUUAUUAAGACAUGUUUAAUUUAACAAAAAUUAAAAACUAAGUAUUUUUAAUCCUAUUCCUAUGUAUGUAUAUAAUUGCUUUCGAAUUACAAACAAAAUAAUAUCCCAAGAGCCUACAUUGAUAGAGUAAUUCUGGAUUCGGGUUGAAAUAGAAGAUGUU